This 1433-nucleotide long non-coding RNA is filed under the name Homo sapiens (human). Its description in RNAcentral is "HSALNT0256020". The record is from RNAcentral. Lineage: Eukaryota; Metazoa; Chordata; Mammalia; Primates; Hominidae.
UCCCAGUUGAGCGGGGUGGCUCAGGCCUGUAAUCCCAGCACUUUGGGAGGCCCAGGCAGGCGGAUCACCUGAGGUCAGGGGUUCGAGACCAGCCUGGCCAACAUGGUGAAACCCUGUUUCUACUAAAAAUACAAAAAUUAGCCUGGCAUGGUGAUGCACGCCUGUAGACCCAGCUACUUGGGAGGCCAAGCAGGAGAAUCGCUUGAAUCCUGUGGGUGGAGGUUGCGGUAAACUGAGAUCGAGCCACUGCACUCCAGCCUGCCUGGGUGACAGAGGGAGACUCCAUCUAAAAAACACAAACAAACAAACAAAAAACUGUUACCUCUGAUGCUGUUGUUACCCAGGAUUUUCUCAGGACCCCACUUCUUCAAAUCUGUUGAAAAGUCAUGGCCAGGCACGAUGGCUCACGCCUGUAAUCCCAGCAUUUUGGAGGCCGAGGCUGGCAGAUGACCUCAAGUCAGGAGUUCAAGACCAGCCUGGCCAACGUGCUGAUACCCAGUCUCUACUAAAGAUACAAAAUUAGCAGGGCGUGGUGGCAGGCACCUAUAAUCCUAGCUACUUGGGAGGCUGAGGCAGGAAAAUCGCUUGAACCCGAAAGGCAGAGGUUGCAGUGAACCAAGAUCGCACCACUGCACUCAAGUCUGGGUGACAGAGCAAGAAUCUGUCUAAAAAAAAAAAAAAAAAGUCACUGCAGGAGAAGAGCACUGGCUCACGCCUGGAAUCCCAGUGCUUUGAAAGGCCAAGGCGGGAGGACUGUUUGACCCAGCAGUUCCAGACCAGCCAGGGCAACAUAGCAGACCCCAUCUCUACAAAAAUAAACAAAAUUAGCCAGGCAUAGUGGUGUAUGCCUGUAGCUCUAGCUAGUUGGGAAGUUGAAGUGGAAGGCUUGCUUGAGCACAGAAGGUCUAGGCUGCAGUUAGCUAUGAUUGCACCACUGCGCUCCAACCUGAGCAACAGGACAAAGACCCGUCUCUAAAAUAUAAAAAAGAAAAAGUCACCCUAUUAAAGGUCCAUGCUGUGUCUCCAGGGUCUAGUUGUUCUAGGUAUUGUACAAAUGAAUUGAUGAAGUGUCUGUUCCACUCACCCUACUGCCUGUCUGGUUUCUCUACCUGUUUUUCUCCACUGCUCUGGGGGCUUCCAACCCCGAAGCCGGCCAGACUCCCUCUAGGCGGGCCAGCAGCACCAGCACCCCCACCCCCACCUCCACGUGUCCCAGCUGCGCGGGAGGGAGCCCAGCGCGAGGGCGGUGGCGGCGCCCAGCGGCCCGAGCAGCCGCCCCGGCAGGACCAGACCUGGCAGUCGCCCCGCUCCUGGCCUGGCACCCGUGAGGGGAAACUGGCAGGCGGGCGCCGCCCUUCCUGGAGGGGGUGGGGGUAGAGGGGACGGCGUCGGCAAAGCAGCGGAGGCAGCAGCAACCCUCCGCCCCGGUCAGG